This 493-nucleotide ribosomal RNA is filed under the name Notoligotoma nitens. RNAcentral's name for it is "partial 16S ribosomal RNA". The stretch from base 168 to 493 matches the Rfam family "Bacterial large subunit ribosomal RNA", at positions 2048 to 2600 of the family's 2925-position model. Lineage: Eukaryota; Metazoa; Arthropoda; Insecta; Embioptera; Notoligotomidae. The record is from RNAcentral.
GGUUUUUGGAAUUUAAUUGAAGAUUUGUUCUGCUCAAUGAUUUUUAAAUAGCUGCAGUAAAUUGACUGUGCAAAGGUAGCAUAAUAAAUAGUUUUUUAAUUGGUAACUUGGAUGAAUGAAUUGAUGGGGAUAAUCUGUCUUUAUUUUAAUUUAAUUUGAAUUUAACAUAUAAGUGAAAAGGCUUAUUAAAAUAUAAGGGACGAUAAGACCCUAUAGAACUUUAUUGGUUUAAAUUUUAAUUAUUUAUAAUUUUUGAAUCAUUUUGGUUGGGGUGACUAGGAUAAAAAAUUAACUUUCUUUUAAUUUACACUGAUGAGUGGUUGAGUAUGAUUGUUUAUUUAAAUAUGAAAGAAAAGUUACCUUAGGGGUAACAGCAUAAUUAUUUUGGAGAGUUCUUAUCAAUAAAUUAGUUUGUGACCUCGAUGUUGAAUUAAGAUGGGAUUUGGGUGAAGGAGUUUAAUGAACGGGUCUGUUCGACCUUUAAAUUCUUACA